GCCUAACACAUGCAAGUCGAACGAACCCUUCGGGGUUAGUGGCGCACGGGUGCGUAACGCGUGGGAACCUGCCUUUUGGUUCGGAAUAACAGUGAGAAAUUACUGCUAAUACCGGAUAAUGUCUUCGGACCAAAGAUUUAUCGCCAUUAGAUGGGCCCGCGUAAGAUUAGCUAGUUGGUGGGGUAAAGGCCUACCAAGGCGACGAUCUUUAGCUGGUCUGAGAGGAUGAUCAGCCACACUGGGACUGAGACACGGCCCAGACUCCUACGGGAGGCAGCAGUGGGGAAUAUUGGACAAUGGGCGAAAGCCUGAUCCAGCAAUGCCGCGUGAGUGAUGAAGGCCUUAGGGUUGUAAAGCUCUUUUACCCGAGAUGAUAAUGACAGUAUCGGG
RNAcentral lists this ribosomal RNA (390 nucleotides) under alpha proteobacterium BAL189. Its description in RNAcentral is "bacterial SSU rRNA". It matches the Rfam family "Bacterial small subunit ribosomal RNA", at positions 46 to 482 of the family's 1533-position model. The record is from RNAcentral. Lineage: Bacteria; Pseudomonadati; Pseudomonadota; Alphaproteobacteria.